This 304-nucleotide signal recognition particle RNA is filed under the name Sulfolobales archaeon. RNAcentral's name for it is "signal recognition particle sRNA". It matches the Rfam family "Archaeal signal recognition particle RNA". Lineage: Archaea; Thermoproteati; Thermoproteota; Thermoprotei; Sulfolobales. The record is from RNAcentral.
UGGCCGGGUAGGGUGGGGGGAGUCGCCAUCCCCUGCGCCCGCGGCGUAAGGCGGGCACCAGUAACCCCUAGGCUCGGGCGACUGGCUGCCCAGUUCCUGGGUCUCGAAUGAGGGUCGCCCGGCGGGGCUCGGCGGGCGUGGACGCCUCCUCCGAAGGGAGGAGGUGUACCACGCUAAUCGGGGGAAGCGGCUAGGCCCGGAAGGGAGCAACCGUGCCCGACCGCCGGCGUUCGCCGGAUCCGGCCCGAACGGGACCUAGGGGUAAGGCUGGGCAGCCAUAGUCCGGGCUUAGGGGGGCCGGCCC